UCCUUUUAAGACAAUCAUGAGAAAUAGUAGCAACAGAGAGGUAACAAAAUAGCAUGUAAACUAUGAUCCAGAUUUUGUGUAAAAUUAAGCAUAUAAAACAUCAUAAAUACACAGAAAAAAUUAGAAAAAUAUAGCUGAAAUUGUUAACGCUGGUUAUCUCUGGGAGUGGAAUUGAGGUGAUAUUUAUUUCUAAUGCUUUCCUGCUUUUCUUCAAUUCCAUGCUGUCGUCACUGAGGGCCUCCAGAACCAGCCCUGUGCUGAUGUUGAUAUGGCAACCAUGCAAAAUUUGACUUAUUUUUCAUAUGCUAAGGGAGAUAAGCUACUUGAUGGUUGUCCAUGACAACUGUCAAAAGCCCCAGAAUCCACACAGCUCUGGGACCUGGGGCCUGGACACUCUGGCCACACCUCCAAACCUGACCUCAUACUCCCACAGACUGCCGUGAGAAGGAGCUUCUGGGAUUUGUUUUCAAGCAAAACAAUAUACUGACCCUUGGCUUUCAUGCCAAAUAAUAUGAAAGUCUCGUACUGAUCUUUACAAACCAAUCGGAUCCUAGAUAGUCACUCAAAGCUAGGAUUCAACCAAAGUAACUGGAGAUAUUUGGAGGUUUUUUCAGAUGUUUAACUUCUAUUAAAGUUAUUUCUUGGCACCUACUAUUGAAAGUAACAGAAUGAGCACAUGCUUAUAAACUUUGUAGAAAGUUAAAGCCACUGAUACAUUUUUGGCAGAAUUGUUGUUUUUCUUAGGCCUGGACCUGCUGGAAUAAUAGCCAGUACCUUCAUGAGGUGGGACACUGGCUUCCAUGAUAUCUGAGGGCCCUCAGUCAGCCCGUGACCCUGGUUUCCUUUUCCAUUGUCCCCACAUCUAACCAGUCCCCAAGUCCUACCAUUCACCAUCUCCUCCUGGACACCUCCAGGAUCCACCCCCACCCCCAUAAUUCUCUCCUGCACCUUGGUCGGAAAACGGUCAUCUCUCACCUGCAUUGUUUUGCCAGUCUUGACCUUGACUGGUGUCCCUAACUCCUAACACCAACCUUCCCAUUUCAGUCUUCCUAUGGCCUCUAGCCUGAUCAUAUCACUUCUCAGCAUGACACUCAUGAUUUCUAACUGGCCUCAGAAUAAAGUCCCACUUCCUUGGCAUGAUCUGGAAGACUUCAGAAUCAGUCCACUUCACACCACACAUCCCCCAGUGCCCCAUCCUCAUGCCCGAGCAGAACCAGCACCCCACAGUGCUUAACUAACCCCUCUUUUUGACAUGGCUCACUGCUAGAACAUGCAUCCCAUUGUUUCCUGUACCUCACUAACCCAUACUCACCCUGCCCAGCCUCACAUUUGACGUUACCUGCUCUGGAUAAACAUUCCCAGUCUUCUUGUAAGAACGGAUAUUGCUUUUAUGGAUCUCAUAGCAACGCUGGGAUAAAAUUAUGCAUUUACUCUCCCCCUUAUGGCUCUCUAAAUUCUUUCUGGUCAUGGACUGUAUGUAUCUUGCUAUUCUUGGUCUCCUACACCUCACACACUGUCCAACACAUCAAAGGUAUUCAAUUAAUACUGAUUCAGAAAGAAACAAUAUGUUGACCGGCUCAAGGUUUAACAAAGAUAGAAUCUCCAGCCAUCCUCAGAUCCCCUGGACUCAGACCUCUGGGUGUUGUUAUUGUUGUUUUGAACUUUUUGUGGUGCUGGGGAUCAAACUCAGACCUAAUGCAUGCUAGGCAAACACUCUACCACUCUACACUCUACCAGUGAGCUACACCUGUAGUCCCAGACCUUUGGAAUUUUAUUGGUUCAAUUACAAGACUAUUUUGAACUUUUCCUCCUUUAUCUCUUACAUGAAAAAGGAAAUAAGGAUGAUUUUGUUGUCAUUUCCUAGAAGAACCACCCCCCAUUUCCUUCCUUCCUUUCGUGUUUCUCUUUAUCCUGUAAGCACAUAAUAGAAACAGGUUAAUUAAUAGGAAGUUAGACAUACUUAUUACUCCAAACAGGAUAUUCCCAUUGCAUUUAUAUCACAGUGGCUUACAAAAUAAAUGCAGACUUUUUUCUCUCCACGUAGAAAUUAAGCAACAGAAUUAUUUUUCCAGCCAUGUUGACUGCCAAGGUUUAUAAUUACUAGAGUUAACAUAAUUAGAUGUCUCUUAGCCCAUAUCCAGCUUAUGAGCCUAACAGCUACCCCAAAAAGGAGAUGUUUGUCUUAUGAGGGAACUAAAUGUACAAAUAUGGGACUUUUAUUAAGUCAAUCCCAUCAUUUUGUUUUCGAAUUAUUUCCCAUUCCUAGACGUUUACAUUCAGUCAUUAGAAGUCUGUGUAAUUACGGAAGAUGUUUAAGUGUGUCUCAGCUCAUUUAAAGUAAGCACGCACCUUUCAUCUCCUCAUUCAUCCUGGGCUUCAAUUCCUUCCCAACUAUGUAUAUUCAUUCCACCUAUUUAUUGCAGGGUAAUUUUCUUUGGUGGAAAAGAUGGAAGCAAAUAGAUUUUUGUAGCUUUAUGGUGCCUUUACUUGCUAAUGAUCUUGCUUACUGCAUUCUCCUCUUUGCUUAUCUUUAUAACAUUUUUAAGUAUGAUCAUUCAGAAUUUGGCCUCCUGUAGCACAUUCUAGGGCAGUGGUGGCAAACCUAUGACACAUGUCCCACGCUGGGCUGUUUAUCAUCACUGAAAGCUCUAAAAGGUUCACCAUCAACUGUUCUUAGGUUUUGGGCCAUUUUUACAUUUGUCUUGUAUUAUUGUUUUCCUUCCAUCUUCAUCUACCCGUAUUUCUUUCUUUAUUACCAUCCUUCACAUAACGGAAAAAGGACAGCUUGCUUUCUUCAACUGUAAUCCUGCCUUUACAGAUUUCUCUGAGGUCAUAACAAAGCCUGUCUUUUUAAAAGCCACAUGGCUAUAAACUCACACCCAAUAAUAUAUCUUGUUUUCCAAUGCUGCUUUUUGGCAGCUGGUAGGAACAUUGAUUAUUCAUAUGCACAGAAAUCACAAUGCCUGUGGGUGAUUUGAUUCUUCCUCCCUGAGUUAUGGCUGUAAUUCUAAAUGAGGUGUUUCAUUUGGGCUUGCACAGGAAGGAGAGACAGAGAGAGGCGAGCAUUGGGCUUUCAGAAUGCUUUACACUGCUCCAUAUUAUUUUCAUCUUCAUAUUUUGACUUUUAAGUUUUAGCUUUAAAAACUGAUGAAAUGAAAGCUGGGAGUCUAGCUCAGUGGUAGAGCAAUUGUCCAGCAGGCAUGAGACCUUGGGCUCUAUCCCAGCACCACAAAAAGUUAAUAAAAUAAAAUCAUGCAAUGAAGAGCCAGCUUUGUUUGACUAUACUAAAACCACUUCAAAGGUACUCUGAAACUUUGCUUUAAACAUUUCCUCACAACGUUUUUGAGCAAGAUACAAGAUCCAGGUAAUUUAAGAAAGCAUUUCUGGAAAACUGCAGUGAGACAGUUGAUGAACUUCAGCCAAGGCUGAGGCAUUACUAAGGGAAUCUGCUACCCUGGGAUCCUAAUU
This is a long non-coding RNA of Heterocephalus glaber (naked mole-rat), 3468 nucleotides long. The record is from Ensembl. NCBI's taxonomy places the organism in Eukaryota, Metazoa, Chordata, Mammalia, Rodentia, Bathyergidae.